GACAGAGGGUGCAAACGUUGUUCGGAAUUACUGGGCGUAAAGCGCGUGUAGGCGGCAAUAUAAGUCGGAUGUGAAAUCCCGCGGCUCAACCGUGGAAGUGCACCCGAAACUGUAUCGCUAGAGUCCCGGAGAGGAUGGUGGAAUACUUGGUGUAGAGGUGAAAUUCGUAGAUAUCAAGUGGAACACCGGUGGCGAAGGCGGCCAUCUGGACGGUGACUGACGCUGAGACGCGAAAGCGUGGGUAGCAAACGGG
This 253-nucleotide ribosomal RNA is filed under the name uncultured bacterium. RNAcentral describes it as "partial 16S ribosomal RNA". It matches the Rfam family "Bacterial small subunit ribosomal RNA", at positions 524 to 776 of the family's 1533-position model. The record is from RNAcentral.